UGGGGAAUCUUCCGCAAUGGGCGAAAGCCUGACGGAGCAACGCCGCGUGAGUGAAGACGGCCUUCGGGUUGUAAAACUCUGUGAUUCGGGACGAAAGAUAAGCAGACGAAUAAUCUGCAUAAGUGACGGUACCGAAAAAGCAAGCCACGGCUAACUACGUGCCAGCAGCCGCGGUAAUACGUAGGUGGCAAGCGUUGUCCGGAAUUAUUGGGCGUAAAGCGCGCGCAGGCGGCUACUUAAGUCCAUCUUAAAAGUGCGGGGCUUAACCCCGUGAUGGGAUGGAAAAUGAGAAGCUGGAGUGUCGGGGAGGAAAGUGGAAUUCCUGGUGUAGCGGUGAAAUGCGUAGAGAUUAAGAAGAACACCGGUGGCGAAGGCGACUUUCUGGACGAAAACUGACGCUUAGGCGCGAAAGCGUGGGGAGCAAACAGG
Molecule: ribosomal RNA, 429 nt
Filed under: Verrucomicrobiota bacterium
Lineage: Bacteria; Pseudomonadati; Verrucomicrobiota
Description: Verrucomicrobia bacterium partial 16S ribosomal RNA
Rfam family: Bacterial small subunit ribosomal RNA
Source: RNAcentral